Molecule: ribosomal RNA, 815 nt
Filed under: Starmerella etchellsii
Lineage: Eukaryota; Fungi; Ascomycota; Dipodascomycetes; Dipodascales; Trichomonascaceae
Description: LSU rRNA
Rfam family: Eukaryotic large subunit ribosomal RNA
Source: RNAcentral
UAAGCAUAUCAAUAAGCGGAGGAAAAGAAACCAACAGGGAUUGCCCUAGUAACGGCGAGUGAACAGGCAAGAGCUCAGAUUUGAAAGCCUUUUUGGCAUUGUAUUCUGAAGUCAGUUUCCUGAGUAUCGGUGUUUAAGUCUUCUGGAAAGGAGCGCCAUGGAGGGUGAUAGCCCCGUACGACACCUCACUCAUUGUAGGAUUCUGACGUGGAGUCGAGUUGUUUGGGAAUGCAGCUCAAAAGGGUGGUAUGCUCCAUCUAAAGCUAAAUAUCUGUGAGAGACCGAUAGCGAACAAGUACUGUGAAGGAAAGAUGAAAAGAACUUUGAAAAGAGAGUGAAAAAGUACGUGAAAUUGUUGAAAUGGAAGGAUAUGCCGCUAACAAUGUAGAGCCGUGUUUGGGGGGAAGACAAAAGCUGAAGAAUGUAUCUCUUUUAGGGAAUUAUAACUUCAGUCAAUAUUCCCAUCCGGGCGCGAGGACCUCAGGCUCUACUAAAUGGUGGUCUAUCACCCGUCUUGAAACACGGACCAAGGAGUCUAUUGCCUGCGCGAGUAUUUGGGUGGCAAACCCAUAUGCGAAGUGAAAGCGAGUGGUUCCAACCUUCGGGGGCAGAAUCAGCCGACCGUUCAUAGGAACGGAUUGAGUGGAGCGCAAGUGAUGGGACCCGAAAGAUGGUGAACUAUGCCUGAAUAGGGUGAAGCCAGAGGAAACUCUGGUGGAGGCUCGCAGCGGUUCUGACGUGCAAAUCGAUCGUCAAAUUUGGGUAUAGGGGCGAAAGACUAAUCGAACCAUCUAGUAGCUGGUUCCUGCCGAAGU